AGCCCUUCCCCCCAUGGCCCCGCCCACCACUCUAGCCACGCCCCUUCCGGACCAGGUGCCUCCCGGCUGCUGGCUCUAGCCCUUCCUCGCGUGGCCCCGCCCCGCCCUCGCCCCCUGCCCAGGCCCGGCCCCUGCGGAGACCAGAGACGCGCGGACGCAGGCUCGAGGCGUCUGCCGAACCUCAGCCCAGGAUCUGCCCCUUUGGGAGGUGCGGGCCGCGGCCAGGCUCUGACCUCAACCUGGCACAGAGGCUCCGGCCCUCAGGCAAGAUUCUCCGGGUAAGUGUGGGGCCCUGAGGCGCUGUGGGGUGAAGAGGUCUAUGCAGGGGCCGCUGUGUACCUAGGAUCUUCCUGCACUCACAAACCCCCGGGAGGUGCCAGGACCCGGGAGGCUCCCAGGGCCUGGAGGGGCGUCCCUGAUGGGUUUCUGCCGCCACAGCUGUGACUCUCACGGGAGUGGCUCUUGUGUCUUUAGACCUCUGUGCCGAUGACCUGGGAGGAAGGUCAGCUUUCCCUACUGGAGGGGGCCCAGCAAAGCCUCAGCCCCUAGAAGUGAGGGGCCUGCCACUGCCUGCCCAAGGACCCCACUCCUGGGGGCCAGAUGCUGAGAAGGGACACUGGGGCCCAGCAGACCGGAGAGCUAACCCCAGUCCCACAGCCUGGGUGGGUUGUCAAUUUCUGGCACCCCUGCACCCCUGCACCCCUUCCCCUUAGGUAAAUAGGAGGUCGAAACAGAGGCCAGAGGGUAAAGGAGGUAAUUAGAGUCUGGGCUGGCUCAGGCUGGCCGGGCAGCUGUGCUAGUGCUUGGAGUUCCUACUCAGUCCCUGCGGUCUCCUGGCCUCUGUGGGCACUUGGGCUGCCAGGCACCGAGCUGAGCUGGGCUGUCCUGCAGCCCCCCAGCCCACGACCCUCCUGUCUCUGUAGGGACUCCCUGAGGCCUUGAAUCCACCCCGGCCCUGUGCUCAGUGCAUCGUGCCCCCCAAGCCCCAGCCCUCCCAGAGGUGUGGGUGGGGGAGGGGCUGCAACCCACACAGGCCAAGGACACAGCUGCUGCCACUGCCUGAGAC
Molecule: long non-coding RNA, 1066 nt
Filed under: Rhinopithecus bieti (black snub-nosed monkey)
Lineage: Eukaryota; Metazoa; Chordata; Mammalia; Primates; Cercopithecidae
Description: lncRNA (ENSRBIG00000045410.1)
Source: RNAcentral